CAACCUGAAAAAUUCAAAAAUUCUUCCAACCUGCUCUCCAAGGUCCAAACACCCAUACUCUUCAUUCCGAAGCACUCGGAACAACAAUAGACCUCUCUAACUCGUCCAUCUCCACGCUUCGGUCAAUUUGAUUGGAGUUCGGUACAACCAAUUGGGGAUUUGGUAUGUUACAGGUAUGGCUUAUAGGAUUUGGUUUGUGAGGUCUGGUUUAUGGUUCAUGGGAUGUGAUGUAUGGUUCAUGAGAUUUGGUUCAUGAACUUGGGUAUGGUUCAUGGGAUAUAGUGUAUGGUUCAUGAGAUUUGGUUCAUGAACUUGGAUAUGGUUUGGUUCGUGAGAUUUGGUUCAUGAACUUGAGUACGACUUAUGAGAUUUGGUCCAUGAACUUGAGUAUGAUUCAUGGGAUGUGGUGUAUGGUUCAUGAGAUUUGGUUCGUGAACUUGGUUCAUGAUUAAUAAGAUUUGGUUCAUGAACUGGGUUCAUGGUUCACGAGAUUUGGUUCAUGAGUCCAAGUUGGAAGUUGGGUUCGGGUUCUAUUCGUGAUUCGGAUUGGGUUUGAGUUUGGGUUUAUUUGUAGACUCAGUUGGAUUUGGGUUUAGAUUUUGUAGAUUUUGGGCUUUUAUGUGGACUUGAUUGGAUUUGGGUUUGGGUUUAGGUUUUAUGGACUGGAUUUGAUUUGGGUUUGGAUUUAGGUUUGGAUUUUUAUUUGUGGACUGAAUUUGAUUUAGGUUUGGGUUUUAUGGGUUUAGGUUUGAGUUUUUAUUUGUGGACUGGAUUUGAUUUGGGUUUGGGUUUCUAUUUGUGGACUGGAUUUGAUUUGGGUUUGGAUUUUAUGGGUUUAGGUUUGGGUUUUUAUUUAUGGACUUGGAUUUGAUUUGGGUUUGGAUUUUAUGGGUUUUUAUUUAUGGACUGGAUUUGAUUUGGGUUUUAUGGUCUAUGUUCAUCUACGUUUGGAUUUGCAUUUAGUAUUCCAACAAUGUUGGAAGGGUUAAAGAUGAGUUUAAAAGAGUUGGAAGGGUUUUAGCGUUGUUCGGUGCGAAAUAGAGUCGAAACAACACGAAAAAUAGAAAUCUGGAGCUUUUGUA
RNAcentral lists this long non-coding RNA (1082 nucleotides) under Ananas comosus (pineapple). Its description in RNAcentral is "long non-coding RNA (ACOM_LNC034836)". The record is from RNAcentral. Lineage: Eukaryota; Viridiplantae; Streptophyta; Magnoliopsida; Poales; Bromeliaceae.